AAGUCGUAACAAGGUUUCCGUAGGUGAACCUGCGGAAGGAUCAUUACAGAGUUCUUGCCCUCACGGGUAGAUCUCCCACCCUUGAUAUCUAUUCUCUUGUUGCUUUGGCGGGACGCUUCGUGCCACGGGCUACGGUCCGUGAGUGCCCGCCAGAGACCCAACCAACUCUUGUUUAUGUGUCGUCUGAGUACUAUAUAAUAGUUAAAA
RNAcentral lists this unclassified non-coding RNA (207 nucleotides) under plant metagenome. Its description in RNAcentral is "partial contains small subunit ribosomal RNA and internal transcribed spacer 1". The stretch from base 1 to 46 matches the Rfam family "Eukaryotic small subunit ribosomal RNA", at positions 1786 to 1831 of the family's 1831-position model. The record is from RNAcentral.